AGCAUCCUGUAUCCGUGCUGAGAUUUCGUCAGUGAUCAAACCGUUGGCGUUGGCUGAUGCAACUCCCCAAAUAAGCGAAGUG
RNAcentral lists this microRNA precursor (82 nucleotides) under Trichobilharzia regenti. Its description in RNAcentral is "mir-3492 microRNA precursor family". It matches the Rfam family "mir-3492 microRNA precursor family". The record is from Rfam by way of RNAcentral. Lineage: Eukaryota; Metazoa; Platyhelminthes; Trematoda; Strigeidida; Schistosomatidae.